CCUGGGGGGAGGGGUCCCUCAGCCCAGAUUGUGAGAGGGCACAGGCCAGGCCAAGGGACCCUGCAGGUGCACA
RNAcentral lists this microRNA precursor (73 nucleotides) under Myotis davidii. RNAcentral's name for it is "mir-9193 microRNA precursor family". It matches the Rfam family "mir-9193 microRNA precursor family". Lineage: Eukaryota; Metazoa; Chordata; Mammalia; Chiroptera; Vespertilionidae. The record is from Rfam by way of RNAcentral.